This 829-nucleotide long non-coding RNA is filed under the name Helianthus annuus (common sunflower). The record is from RNAcentral. Lineage: Eukaryota; Viridiplantae; Streptophyta; Magnoliopsida; Asterales; Asteraceae.
CGGUGGAGUUGGUCGGUUACGUUGGAUAUUUCCGGUAACAUAAAUUGAAACAACGGCGGUGACGGAGUUAACUAUAAUUAUCAACGCUACAACCGCCUCUUUCUCACAAUCACCAAAACCCUUUAUCACUCUUCUUCUUCUUCUUCUUCUUCUUCUUCACUUACCAUUCCUGACAGAGGCCAGAGGUUAUUCAGAUAUUCCAACAAGGCGGUUCUUGCGGUUACUAAUCGAACAACUGCACUUGCCUACCUAUUGUUUGGUAGUGUGGCAGCAGCACCAACAUCAUCUAAAAAGAGCCAUGACGACUUGCGUGGGCGUGAGUCCAAACCGGUGAUGCCUGACGCAUCAGCACCAACUGCUCCCCACGGUCCACCGAUUGGUUCAGGCAUCAGACCAGUGCUUAUAUCAUCCUCAGUUUUAAACCAAUUACAUUGUUCGGUCUUUUGACUAAAUGCUAAGAAUUUAGCUUGCUCUUACCGAAUUGUAUGACACAACAAUUUGACCUCAAUGAGAAGAUGUGAGGAAAAAAGAAAAAAAAGGGGAAACGACAGUUUGGUGGCUGGAAAUGGCUGGCUGAUAAAGUAAAAGGGGAAAGCUAAACGUCUCUAAAGUACAAUGCAUAUGUAGUAAGACAAGAUGCGCAACACUAGAGUCGAAAUAGGGAGCGACAGAAGAGACUAUAUUAGUCGGUGGCCAUACAGCUACAAACGGUUGUUGAAAGUGCAACUACAAGCAGCUAUUGAAGGUGCAUAUGCAAAUUUGGCAAAUGCCUUUGGAGUUGUACUCUCAUCAUAAAAUAAUUCACUCAUUGGUUCGUAAUCUUAGUUGG